UAUGGUAGUUAGAUUUGGGCAAAGAAAACAUUGGACCCAGGACCUGAUCUGGAGGCAUGUGACGCAAUAACCUUGCUGCAGUUAAGUAGUCUGGGUCUGGAUAGUGCCAGGAUAGCAGACCACCUGGGGACACCAUGUAUGCUGCUUUGAGAAAGGGACUACCUGGAUUGAACCACUUCUAAAAAAAAUAGACUGGGUCGAUCAGAAGAGUAUUAUAUUUCCUAUUUCCGGGCGGAUCGACAUGCAGAGGUCACAAUGCAGAUAGCAAGAUUUUGUGCAGCAGCUUGUAAAUUGAGAAGGGGACAACUUAGCUGUAACUGAGAUUUUAUAUAAUUUGAUACGGUGCCACUAAGUUAUUGUUUUGAUUUUGUUCUGUUAUGUUGACUUAUGCUUUGUGUGUAUUUUGACUGGUCAUGGACCGUAAUAAACUAUUACUUACUUACUAAGAA
Molecule: long non-coding RNA, 449 nt
Organism: Hemicordylus capensis (graceful crag lizard)
Lineage: Eukaryota; Metazoa; Chordata; Lepidosauria; Squamata; Cordylidae
Exons: 2
Source: RefSeq, a predicted model, not a curated record